GACGAACGCUGGCGGCGUGCCUAAUACAUGCAAGUAGAACGCACAGUUUAUACCGUAGCUUGCUACACCAUAGACUGUGAGUUGCGAACGGGUGAGUAACGCGUAGGUAACCUGCCUGGUAGCGGGGGAUAACUAUUGGAAACGAUAGCUAAUACCGCAUAAUAUUAAUUAUUGCAUGAUAAUUAAUUGAAAGGUGCAAUUGCACCACUGCCAGAUGGACCUGCGUUGUAUUAGCUAGUAGGUGAGGUAACGGCUCACCUAGGCGACGAUACAUAGCCGACCUGAGAGGGUGAUCGGCCACACUGGGACUGAGACACGGCCCAGACUCCUACGGGAGGCAGCAGUAGGGAAUCUUCGGCAAUGGACGAAAGUCUGACCGAGCAACGCCGCGUGAGUGAAGAAGGUUUUCGGAUCGUAAAGCUCUGUUGUAAGAGAAGAACGGGUGUGAGAGUGGAAAGUUCACACUGUGACGGUAUCUUACCAGAAAGGGACGGCUAACUACGUG
RNAcentral lists this ribosomal RNA (505 nucleotides) under uncultured bacterium. Its description in RNAcentral is "partial 16S ribosomal RNA". It matches the Rfam family "Bacterial small subunit ribosomal RNA", at positions 28 to 507 of the family's 1533-position model. The record is from RNAcentral.